Molecule: ribosomal RNA, 253 nt
Filed under: uncultured bacterium
Lineage: Bacteria
Description: partial 16S ribosomal RNA
Rfam family: Bacterial small subunit ribosomal RNA
Source: RNAcentral
UACGAAGGGGGCUAGCGUUGUUCGGAAUCACUGGGCGUAAAGGGCGCGUAGGCGGCUUUAUAAGUCAGGGGUGAAAGCCUGUGGCUCAACCACAGAAUUGCCUUCGAUACUGUAGAGCUUGAGACCGGAAGAGGUAAGUGGAACUGCGAGUGUAGAGGUGAAAUUCGUAGAUAUUCGCAAGAACACCAGUGGCGAAGGCGGCUUACUGGUCCGGUUCUGACGCUGAGGCGCGAAAGCGUGGGGAGCAAACAGG